Molecule: RNase P RNA, 353 nt
Filed under: Veillonellaceae bacterium
Lineage: Bacteria; Bacillati; Bacillota; Negativicutes; Veillonellales; Veillonellaceae
Also listed under: 1 other name
Description: RNase P RNA component class A
Rfam family: Bacterial RNase P class A
About the family: Ribonuclease P (RNase P) is a ubiquitous endoribonuclease, found in archaea, bacteria and eukarya as well as chloroplasts and mitochondria.
Source: RNAcentral
UGAGUAUAAAAGAUGAUCGCGGAUGUCUUUUCAGACAUUUGAGGAAAGUCCGGGCUCCACAGGGCAAGGUGCUGGAUAACGUCCAGCGAGGGCGACCUCAGGGAAAGUGCCACAGAAAUGUAAACCGCCGGUUUUUGCCGGUAAGGAUGGAACGGUGCGGUAAGAGCGCACCAGCAGUUAGGUGACUAACUGGCUAGGUAAACCCCACCUGGUGCAAGACCAAAUAGGGAAGGGAUGAGGCUGCCCGCUAACCUUCCGGGUGUGUCGCUAGAGCCGUCAGGUAACUGACGGUCCAGAUAAAUGAUCAUCACCGCUUUUGCGGUACAGAACUCGGCUUAUUGAUUACUUGCAAC